RNAcentral lists this ribosomal RNA (275 nucleotides) under uncultured Acinetobacter sp. Its description in RNAcentral is "partial 16S ribosomal RNA". It matches the Rfam family "Bacterial small subunit ribosomal RNA", at positions 258 to 524 of the family's 1533-position model. The record is from RNAcentral. Lineage: Bacteria; Pseudomonadati; Pseudomonadota; Gammaproteobacteria; Moraxellales; Moraxellaceae.
UAAAGGCCUACCAAGGCGACGAUCUGUAGCGGGUCUGAGAGGAUGAUCCGCCACACUGGGACUGAGACACGGCCCAGACUCCUACGGGAGGCAGCAGUGGGGAAUAUUGGACAAUGGGGGGAACCCUGAUCCAGCCAUGCCGCGUGUGUGAAGAAGGCCUUUUGGUUGUAAAGCACUUUAAGCGAGGAGGAGGCUACUAGUACUAAUACUACUGGAUAGUGGACGUUACUCGCAGAAUAAGCACCGGCUAACUCUGUGCCAGCAGCCGCGGUAAU